CCUACGGGAGGCAGCAGUGAGGAAUAUUGGUCAAUGGACGAGAGUCUGAACCAGCCAAGUAGCGUGAAGGAUGACUGCCCUAUGGGUUGUAAACUUCUUUUAUAUGGGAAUAAAAUGUUCCACGUGUGGGAUUUUGUAUGUACCAUAUGAAUAAGGAUCGGCUAACUCCGUGCCAGCAGCCGCGGUAAUACGGAGGAUCCGAGCGUUAACCGGAUUUAUUGGGUUUAAAGGGAGCGUAGGUGGAUUGUUAAGUCAGUUGUGAAAGUUUGCGGCUCAACCGUAAAAUUGCAGUUGAAACUGGCAGUCUUGAGUACAGUAGAGGUGGGCGGAAUUCGUGGUGUAGCGGUGAAAUGCUUAGAUAUCACGAAGAACUCCGAUUGCGAAGGCAGUUCACUGGACUGCAACUGACACUGAGGCUCGAAAGUGUGGGUAUCAAACAGGAUUAGAUACCCCUGUAGUC
RNAcentral lists this ribosomal RNA (460 nucleotides) under uncultured bacterium. Its description in RNAcentral is "partial 16S ribosomal RNA". It matches the Rfam family "Bacterial small subunit ribosomal RNA", at positions 338 to 795 of the family's 1533-position model. The record is from RNAcentral.